Molecule: transfer RNA, 32 nt
Filed under: Tomistoma schlegelii (false gharial)
Lineage: Eukaryota; Metazoa; Chordata; Crocodylia; Gavialidae
Description: partial tRNA-Thr
Source: RNAcentral
AACCUCAUACUCUUGUAGCUAAACCCCAAAGC